CCUAAGCGCUAACCCCUUCGCUACCCAACCAGAAAUAACCAAAAAUAUGUCGCACCAGCACCACAAGGGAUUGCCUACGACAGCACCGCAAGCUACCUUCAGAGAUGCGUGUCUGCCUCCCAGCAAACGCUAACGUCGUCUGGUAUAAGUAAGUAGGAUCUAAAACAAGAUAUAACAGAAAUCAAUUAGCAAUAUGUUGCUGUUAAGAGAAACAACCACCCUAAAUUAAUUUGGGGAGUUACGGAGGGAAGGGAGGGCGCACCAUUGCUGGACCUUCCUGAACUCUGUAAGGACAGGGUAUAUGUUUUCAAAGGCCUUGUAUGUGUCAUCCCUCACCUAACUCAUCAAAUUAAACAAAAUGUUAGCAAAUCGUCCAAACGCAAAAGCAUGAGUAAUUAAAUAGCAACCGA
RNAcentral lists this long non-coding RNA (410 nucleotides) under Malus domestica (apple). RNAcentral's name for it is "long non-coding RNA (MDOM_LNC011016)". The record is from RNAcentral. Lineage: Eukaryota; Viridiplantae; Streptophyta; Magnoliopsida; Rosales; Rosaceae.